GACCUCCUUCUGGAUGGACAUUGGAUCUAGACUCAUUGACAUUCUUUAGUAUAUGUGCAAGGACAUCACUUGAAAUGAAGGCCAAAUUGAGUCCAAAAAGCAAACCGAGCCAUCCUGUAUAGCUCCUUGCACAAUACAUAGAAUAUAAUGUGGUGACAAGUAGUGCAACUCGCUCGUGCCUUGAUGCAAGUGUGAUACCUCCAAGGAAGAUAACAAAGCCUGUUGUCCAGAAACUGCCAUAUAGCCAC
RNAcentral lists this unclassified non-coding RNA (248 nucleotides) under Hevea brasiliensis (rubber tree). The record is from RNAcentral. Lineage: Eukaryota; Viridiplantae; Streptophyta; Magnoliopsida; Malpighiales; Euphorbiaceae.